UGGCUGAAAUAAGGCGAUAGACUGUAAAUCUAACCAUGAGGUUAUUACCUCUCAGGCUU
Molecule: transfer RNA, 59 nt
Filed under: Cerion incanum
Lineage: Eukaryota; Metazoa; Mollusca; Gastropoda; Stylommatophora; Cerionidae
Description: tRNA-Tyr
Source: RNAcentral